This 497-nucleotide ribosomal RNA is filed under the name uncultured bacterium. Its description in RNAcentral is "partial 16S ribosomal RNA". It matches the Rfam family "Bacterial small subunit ribosomal RNA", at positions 28 to 507 of the family's 1533-position model. The record is from RNAcentral.
GAUGAACGCUGGCGGCGUGCCUAAUACAUGCAAGUCGAACGAACGGACCCUAAGCUUUUGCUUCUAACGUUGGCGACUGGCGGGUGGGUAAGGCGUAGAUAGCCUUCUUAUAAUUCGUGGGGAACUGCGGGAAACAGCUGCUAAUACCAGAUAAUACAUUGUACCGGUUGGUUCCAUAGUGCAUCACGGUUUUAGCGUCUCUCAUAGAUGGAUCCGCGCUGCAUUAGCUAGUUGGUAAGGUAACGGCUUACCAAGGCGACGAUGCGUAGCCGACCUGAGAGGGUGAUCGGCCACACUGGAACUGAGACACGGUCCAGACUCCUACGGGAGGCAGCAGUAGGGAAUCUUCCGCAAUGGGCGAAAGCCUGACGGAGCAACGCCGCGUGAGUGAUGAAGGUCUUCGGAUCGUAAAACUCUGUUAUUAGGGAAGAACAAAUGUGUAAGUAACUAUGCACGUCUUGACGGUACCUAAUCAGAAAGCCACGGCUAACUACGUG